RNAcentral lists this ribosomal RNA (496 nucleotides) under uncultured bacterium. Its description in RNAcentral is "partial 16S ribosomal RNA". It matches the Rfam family "Bacterial small subunit ribosomal RNA", at positions 29 to 507 of the family's 1533-position model. The record is from RNAcentral.
AUGAACGCUGGCGGCGUGCCUAAUACAUGCAAGUCGAGCGAACGGACGAGAAGCUUGCUUCUCUGAUGUUAGCGGCGGACGGGUGAGUAACACGUGGAUAACCUACCUAUAAGACUGGGAUAACUUCGGGAAACCGUAGCUAAUACCGGAUAAUAUUUUGAACCGCAUGGUUCAAAAGUGAAAGACGGUCUUGCUGUCACUUAUAGAUGGAUCCGCGCUGCAUUAGCUAGUUGGUAAGGUAACGGCUUACCAAGGCAACGAUGCAUAGCCGACCUGAGAGGGUGAUCGGCCACACUGGAACUGAGACACGGUCCAGACUCCUACGAGAGGCAGCAGUAGGGAAUCUUCCGCAAUGGGCGAAAGCCUGACGGAGCAACGCCGCGUGAGUGAUGAAGGUCUUCGGAUCGUAAAACUCUGUUAUUAGGGAAGAACAUAUGUGUAAGUAACUGUGCACAUCUUGACGGUACCUAAUCAGAAAGCCACGGCUAACUACGUG